GCUCAGGACGAACGCUGGCGGCGUGCCUAAUACAUGCAAGUAGAACGCUGAGGACUGGUGCUUGCACUGGUCUAAGGAGUUGCGAACGGGUGAGUAACGCGUAGGUAACCUACCUCAUAGCGGGGGAUAACUAUUGGAAACGAUAGCUAAUACCGCAUGACAAUAGGGUACACAUGUACCCUAUUUAAAAGGGGCAAAUGCUUCACUAUGAGAUGGACCUGCGUUGUAUUAGCUAGUUGGUAAGGUAACGGCUUACCAAGGCGACGAUACAUAGCCGACCUGAGAGGGUGAUCGGCCACACUGGGACUGAGACACGGCCCAGACUCCUACGGGAGGCAGCAGUAGGGAAUCUUCGGCAAUGGGGGGAACCCUGACCGAGCAACGCCGCGUGAGUGAAGAAGGUUUUCGGAUCGUAAAGCUCUGUUGUUAGAGAAGAACGGUAAUGGGAGUGGAAAAUCCAU
Molecule: ribosomal RNA, 461 nt
Filed under: Streptococcus uberis
Lineage: Bacteria; Bacillati; Bacillota; Bacilli; Lactobacillales; Streptococcaceae
Description: bacterial SSU rRNA
Rfam family: Bacterial small subunit ribosomal RNA
Source: RNAcentral